RNAcentral lists this long non-coding RNA (852 nucleotides) under Cricetulus griseus (Chinese hamster). RNAcentral describes it as "lncRNA (ENSCGRG00000025475.1)". The record is from RNAcentral. Lineage: Eukaryota; Metazoa; Chordata; Mammalia; Rodentia; Cricetidae.
AUUAAAGGCGUGCACCACCAACACCCAGUAAUAACAGAUAAUUUAAUCACUUUCGGAUAUAAGUGCAUGGCCAGGAUUGAAAGAUCCUGCAAUCUAAGAAAGGCCAGUGGGUGGCACCAGAGCACACCCAGUCUUUGCCUGGAGGCGGCUGUUACCAGCAAGACAAAGCACCCUUUUUUACAGGACCCUCUCAAGCAAGAUGGCUUCCACUUACAGGCAUUAAGUGGCCAGUGUAGUCCAGUCAGUCACGUGGAAAGAGGAAAUGUCACCAGAAGAACUAACUACGUUGAUCAGGAAAUGAAGGACAAGAGCCCUGAUAAUUCCGAGUCAAGAGUGAAGGGACCAGCUCCCCAUUUCGGCAGCCAUAACAGCCAAACACGUAUUUGUCUGACCUUGUCUUAGUCACUAAGGUCAGAUGCCUGCCCCUUUUGGCAGCCAUGACAGUAACACAUGCUUUUCUGACCUUGCCUUGGUCACUAGAGGCUAGGUGCCUGCCUCAUGGCAAGGAACCAAUCAGAAGUUAGCUGGUGGCACUAUGCUUUAUGGCUCUGGGUGUGCUUUACCGACAAGUGCACAGCAAUGACGUAGAGCAUAGCAACCACCCUGGGAGGGCCUAUGGGCCAUAACAACCAGUUGACCAAUCAACACAGGGCAAGCCCUCCAAGCCUGGAGGCACACCAAUCGUGAGCCUGUGCGUACCCCUAGACACUCCCCUUACGCUGCCCUACAAGAUCUCUGUGCAGCCCCUUCGAGCUGUCUUUGCUAGCCAUCCACCAUGGCGGGUGGUUGAAAGACCUGAGCUAAUAUGGGGUUAGCUUGUUAAACAACAAUAAAGCCUCAUGCAGUUUGCAG